GCUACUGCCCUUAGCAAACCAUUGUCAUCACCACUACCAAUAAGAACAAGCAAAGUGAUCAAGUGAUUUUCUGUUGCUGCUGCCAGCAUCUCUUCAUUUCAGCUUUUACCUAGUAAUUGGCUCGGGCGAAGCUGACACGUAGAUCCACAUCCUCAGCCCAAACAUCAUUAGCGGGCUUGUUGUAGAAGACGGGGAUGAUGCCGCGAUACAGGUGCAACUGGUGGGCUGUCUGGCCAUUACGGGUCACAGCCAUGAUAGGAGCACGUGGCCUGUACCUGGACAGCAGCUCAGCGGACCUGAGGAGACACAGUAGGGGCGAUGUUUCACACAGAUUCUCCAAAAAUAUACAGGACAGGUACAGAAAAGGAAACUUUGAUGCAAAUGAUAUUCCAAAGCUGGUGGAGGCAGCAGAGGCGAUCAUGAUGAUCCACAUCGAUAGAUGGCAGAAAAGCGUCUAACACCACUGUCGUAUCGGUACUUAAAGUACACGAAGAAGAG
This is a long non-coding RNA of Myxocyprinus asiaticus (Chinese sucker), 498 nucleotides long. RefSeq lists it as uncharacterized. Lineage: Eukaryota; Metazoa; Chordata; Actinopteri; Cypriniformes; Catostomidae. The transcript is spliced from 3 exons. The record is from RefSeq and is a predicted model, not a curated record.